RNAcentral lists this transfer RNA (73 nucleotides) under Actinomadura sp. WMMB 499. RNAcentral describes it as "tRNA-Arg". It matches the Rfam family "tRNA". From Rfam's summary of the family: Transfer RNA (tRNA) molecules are approximately 80 nucleotides in length. Lineage: Bacteria; Bacillati; Actinomycetota; Actinomycetes; Streptosporangiales; Thermomonosporaceae. RNAcentral also lists the same sequence under 1 other name. The record is from RNAcentral.
UGGCUAGUAGCUCAAUGGAUAGAGCGUCUCUCUCCUAAAGAGUAAGGUGCGGGUUCGACUCCUGCCUAGCCAA